RNAcentral lists this microRNA precursor (80 nucleotides) under Microcebus murinus (gray mouse lemur). Lineage: Eukaryota; Metazoa; Chordata; Mammalia; Primates; Cheirogaleidae. The record is from RNAcentral.
GUGCUUAAAGAAUGGCUGUCCGUAGUAUGGUCUCUAUAUUUGAAGAUGAUUCAUAUCGGACAACCAUUGUUUUAGUAUCC